GAUGAAGAACGUAGCGAAAUGCGAUAAGUAAUGUGAAUUGCAGAAUUCAGUGAAUCAUCGAAUCUUUGAACGCACCUUGCGCCUUUUGGUAUUCCGAAAGGCACACCUGUUUGAGCGUCAUGAAUACCUCAAUCUCCAUCUUUUCUUCGGAUUGAUGGGUGACUUGGAUGUUGAGCCCUGCUGGUAUGCUAUAUCAGCUGGCUUUAAACUUAUUAGCCGGCUCUGUACUGGAUCGGUUUGACUCGACGUGAUAAUAUUAUCGUUGAGGAUGCAUGUCUCAUGCAGCCGGAAAGUAUCAAAGCAGCUUCUAGCUAGCCUUUAGUGCACUUUUACAUUUUAGACCUCAGAUCAGGUGGGACUACCCGCUGAACUUAAGCAUACCAAUAAGCGGAGGA
This 395-nucleotide unclassified non-coding RNA is filed under the name soil metagenome. RNAcentral's name for it is "partial contains 5.8S ribosomal RNA, internal transcribed spacer 2, and large subunit ribosomal RNA". The stretch from base 1 to 120 matches the Rfam family "5.8S ribosomal RNA", at positions 35 to 154 of the family's 154-position model. The record is from RNAcentral.